UCACACACAUAAAAAAGUUAGAAGUGUGGAUUGUUUCGCGUACAAUAUAUUUUAUGAAUUAGUUGCGUCUACUGAUCAAUUUUGUUCAUUUUACCAGAAAAGAAGGAAGCCGAACCCAUCACCCAGGUUCGGUGAUCAUUGUCGGCAGACGGAAACGGAUCUAUACCCAUCCGUUCCCCCAAAACAAAAAAAGGAUCUAUGCCCAUCCGUGAUCCGCAACUGCGAUCGUGCCUUGCCAGAAAGCGAUGCGAAUCACGCGGGGUAUGGGCAGCGUAAUCGUGCAAUGCGGCAGCAGCAAAGACACUCCAUCGAGAUCGAGAUGAGAUCAUCCGUCUGACAAUCUGAUCCACUGCGGCCUGCGCUACGCCUUUCGCCAUCGUCGCGGCCUUGAUGAUUGGCUCGAUGAGAAUACGCAAGAUUUACUAGGUAAAUGCCACCUUUUUUUUUCUGUUCGCAUCGUAUUCUGGUAACGGUACACAUUCUCUGCCAGCAGCCGGCUCGAUGGACCGCCGGCAACGGUGACCUGAACCUGCUCCUUGGUUUGUACGUAGCACAUCUCAAUUAGUGUAGCACCUGAAACUGAAAGUGUCCAUCGGACGAGCUGCUCCCCAAUCUGGCUGAGACGUUGACGCAAUGUUCCCUAAUCAUAA
Molecule: long non-coding RNA, 650 nt
Filed under: Hordeum vulgare
Lineage: Eukaryota; Viridiplantae; Streptophyta; Magnoliopsida; Poales; Poaceae
Description: long non-coding RNA (HVUL_LNC018384)
Source: RNAcentral